This is a non-coding RNA of Penaeus vannamei (Pacific white shrimp), 1546 nucleotides long. NCBI's taxonomy places the organism in Eukaryota, Metazoa, Arthropoda, Malacostraca, Decapoda, Penaeidae. The record is from RefSeq and is a predicted model, not a curated record.
UGUUGACAAUGAUUGAUGCUCCUGCUCCUACCACUGUUGCUUCUGCUACUGGUUCUGCUGCUGCUGCUACUACGAUUACAAAGACCCUUACAACUACUGCUGCUGCUGCAUUUAAAUCACUAUUUGUGUAUCAAUAAUCAUGUCUGGUGUUUGUUACAGUCAAAACCUGGAGAAGUAAUGCAGGCUGUUAAGGAUGCUAUUUCUUGUGGAUAUCGCCAUCUUGACUGUGCCCUUAUUUAUGGUAACGAACCUGAAGUUGGAGAAGCUAUUAAAGCAAAGAUUGCAGAUGGCACUGUAACACGCCAAGACUUAUUCAUCACAAGCAAGCUUUGGAAUACAUAUCAUAGGAAGAGCCUUGUCAUUCCAACCCUGAAGGAAUCCUUAACUAACCUUGGACUUGAUUACUUGGACUUAUACCUCAUUCACUGGCCUAUGGGGUACAAGGAGGGUGGAGAGAAGUUUCCGACUGAUGAAAGUGGGAAAACUUUGUAUAGUGAUGUGGAUUACAUUGAGACCUGGCCAGCUAUGGAAGAGGCAGUGGAAGCAGGUCUUGUCAGAUCCAUUGGAGUUUCCAACUUUAGCAAGGAUCAAAUUGAACGAGUUCUUCAAAUUGCUAAAAUAGUGCCUGCCAACAAUCAGGUUGAGUGUCACCCAUACUUAAAUCAAAAGAAGCUUAUUGAUUACUGCAAAAGUAAAGGAAUAACUGUCACUGCCUACAGCCCACUAGGAUCACCAGACAGACCUUGGGCUAAGCCUGAUGAUCCUUUGCUUAUGGAUGAUCCUAGGAUAGUUGGAAUUGCUGAGAAGUACAAGAAGACUCCUGCUCAAAUUCUCAUUCGCUAUCAGAUUCAACGUGAUGUGAUUGUUAUUCCCAAGUCUGUUACAAAAUCACGCAUUGAGGAAAAUAUACAGGUCAGCACUAUUUCAGUCAACAACCCCCAGCCUUUUGAUCCUGCUUCUACAUCAUGUUUUUUUACCAAGUGUGGAUCUCAUGAGGCGGUUUCCCACAUUUUUUGGUGCUCAGACCUGGAAAGCUUUAGAUGUAGAGUCAUCGUCCGGACAGGUGUUUGACUUUGCUCUGUCAGAUGAUGAUAUGAAGACUAUUGAUGGCUUUGACUGCAAUGGCCGUUUCCUUCAUCUUACUUGGAUUAAGGACCACCCACACUGGCCAUUCAACACUGAAUUUUAAGAAAAUACAUUGUUAAGAGAAAAGGAACCCCCAUAUUUGAAGAUGUAAUGUUUUUACUGAUUGUAAAUGAAAGCUCUGGUUAUUAUACUUUUUGUGAACAUUUUAAAGGACAGUCAGUGUUAAGAAAAAAAUUUAUUUACUAAUUGUUAAUGAUAGUUUGCAGUUAUUAUACCACUUUCUUUGUGAGUUUUGGUUGGUCAACACUACUAUGAUUUUUGAAAGAAAAUAAAAAACAAAGGGAAAAUGUUUUCUCUAUUGAUUUUCAACUAACCAGAGAGAUGGAAAAUAUAGAAACUGAUGCUCGCACCUCUUACAAUCAAAAAUAUUAGUUAUACCAUUAAAGAUCUUGGACACUUU